Molecule: ribosomal RNA, 172 nt
Filed under: uncultured Acidobacteriota bacterium
Lineage: Bacteria; Pseudomonadati; Acidobacteriota
Description: uncultured Acidobacteria bacterium partial 16S ribosomal RNA
Rfam family: Bacterial small subunit ribosomal RNA
Source: RNAcentral
ACUCCUACGGGAGGCAGCAGUGGGGAAUUUUGCGCAAUGGGGGAAACCCUGACGCAGCAACGCCGCGUGGAGGAUGAAAUAUCUUGGUAUGUAAACUCCUUUCGAUGGGGAAGAUAAUGACGGUACCCAUAGAAGAAGCCCCGGCUAACUUCGUGCCAGCAGCCGCGGUAAU